Corvus moneduloides (New Caledonian crow) is the source of this 1911-nucleotide long non-coding RNA. The record is from Ensembl. Lineage: Eukaryota; Metazoa; Chordata; Aves; Passeriformes; Corvidae.
GUUUGCUCUUUGCUGAAGUGCAGUGCCAAACUCGACGUGAUACCGAGAGGGGCUGCCCCUGCCUGCGCCGCGUCUCUGCCUCCCCAGCCCGGGUUUCCUAGCGCCCAAGGGCCACCGCCCAGCUCCGGCUCGUCGUCCUGCAUUCAGGUUCACGUUCCAGUUAAUAACAAACGUUACUGCUCUCCUGAGGCGCAGGCCAGAGCGGGCACGCUUUACACGGAGGCCCAGGCGGGCACGUUACGCGCAGCUGCCCGGCGGAAGAGGAGCUGCUCCCGGGAGGAAGAGCGAGGAGCGGCUCCCGGGAGGAAGAGCGAGGAGCGGCUCCCGGGAGGAAGAGCGAGGAGCGGCUCCCGGGAGGAAGAGCGAGGAGCGGCUCCCCUUUGUCUGCGCGGGCCGCGGGCCGGUGUCGCUCCCGGCCGCCAGGCGGCGCUGCGGGCCCCGGCGGAGCUGAGGGCAGCGCCCGGAGCCGGGCCCGGCAGGGACCCGACGGACAUGGCGGGUUCGGCCGCUGGGAAUCGCCCCCAGCCCCGGAGGGCAGCAUGGCAGCACAAAUGGAUUUGCUCCGAUAAAAACAGAUAGGCCGGACUAAAAAAAAAAAAAAAAAAGUGGUGGUUGGGUUUGGGUUUUGGGUUUUUUUUUUUAAUCACGCUUGUAAUCUCAUUCGCUCUGAAAGGUAAAUAAAUUGCAGUUGUGUGAAAAACAAUUGGUGCUACAUGUGUUCAUAACAGAUGGGAUCUUAUCACAGUUUAACUGUAAUAAAUUCUGACUUCUGGAAAUUGUAAUCUCUACUCCAUGCUGGAUGUCUCUUUUCUACUGUAAUAAUAGGGCUACAAACUCUUGAGAGCAAGCAGAAAACUUUUCGGUGCUAGCGUUGCUCAAGAGCCAGGGCAUGCUCCUGCAGCCUCUUCCCAACUGCAGCUCUUUCAAAGUUUGCGUGAAAACGCAUCUGGAAAUCAAAAGGGACCGAAAAACCUGGCGCAUAGGGAGACAAACAGCUGAUCCUUCCCCCGCUGGGUAACAUUAUUUACUAAGGCCAACGAUAAUAGUCCUUAAAAUACAAGCAGAAAACCUAAGAACGAGCUCUCUGUGUGGAGAAGCCCUGGCAAAUGACAGAUCACGCUUUGCUUUGUGAAGAGAGAAAAUGUGAGAAAAAACCGAGCCCCCGAGGAAGGGGGAACCAAACUUUAGAUUAAUUCCCCCUGCGCUUCAGCUCACAAAAUUAAAAAAUAAAUUUGAAUAACCACUGAAAGGAUAAAAUUAUAAUAAUAAAUUGUCCAUAUUCACUGAGGCUGCGGGACUAAUUAUUUUCACCAUCUCGGCUUCCCAUUGCUGUUUAUCAAGUCGCAGGAUAAAUGCUUGUAAAUCCAUUACAUUACCAUAAAUCCUUUCGCCACUUUCUUUUUGGCCAAUGCUUUUGCAACAUUAAUUGAUUUUAUUGCACUUCCUGAAGUCACUGUUUAUUAAACUCAAGCAACUUCUCUCUGGAAGCGUUGGGUUUUUCCAUCGACAUACCAAACCCGUGAACGGGAAUUACGGAGGCUACUAUAGGAUCUAGUCCCUUCCGCCCCACGCUGUGAUCUCGAUGGCAAAUGCGAACUGCAAAUUACAAGUUUCUAACAAUCUACGCUGUUACAGAAAACAGCCCCUUUAUCGCUGGUGAAAAACUAGUCUAGAUCCAAACACCACCUUUCUCCAUUGGUUUUAAACGGGGGGAGGAGGCAUGAAAUGCUACUGGGCGAUGGAGAUCUAACACACUAAGAAACACACUGCGAGUCUUUUACAUUACUUGAUGGACAGCAGUUAUUUUUAGUAAAGGAUUUUCGAUGUGUAACUAGAAGUCCAGUGCAAUUUAGAAAUGAGUACACAGGCUCCAGGUUUCUCAAACCCUUCUCCUUUUUUCUUCAAUCAGCU